This is a regulatory RNA element of Oceanobacillus picturae, 108 nucleotides long. It matches the Rfam family "SAM riboswitch aptamer (S box leader)". Rfam says of the family: The SAM riboswitch is found upstream of a number of genes which code for proteins involved in methionine or cysteine biosynthesis in Gram-positive bacteria. The SAM riboswitch acts at the level of transcription termination control. The record is from Rfam. NCBI's taxonomy places the organism in Bacteria, Bacillati, Bacillota, Bacilli, Caryophanales, Bacillaceae.
UUCUUAUCUAGAGAGGUGGAGGGAUAUGGCCCUUUGAAGCCUCGGCAACAGGUCUGUUUAGUUAGAUACUGUGCCAAUUCCAUCAAGCAAUUGCUUGGAAGAUAAGAG